This 308-nucleotide ribosomal RNA is filed under the name Plagiorchiida sp. DN1985_2. RNAcentral's name for it is "partial large subunit ribosomal RNA". It matches the Rfam family "Eukaryotic large subunit ribosomal RNA", at positions 1916 to 2151 of the family's 3401-position model. Lineage: Eukaryota; Metazoa; Platyhelminthes; Trematoda; Plagiorchiida. The record is from RNAcentral.
GGCAAAUUGGAUCCGUAACUUCGGGAGAAGGAUUGGCUUUGAGAGCUGAGUCAAAUGAGCUGGGUUCAGAAACGUGUCGGUCCAGUUGGAGGCUGGCUUUCUUGCUAUGGUCUGCUUCGGUGGAUCAUGUGCAGGAUUGCUGGACUUCGACCGGGCCGAUCGUGGGCGAUCUCAGUUAUGGUACCGCUUGUUUUGCGGCGUGUGUCGGUUCGUCCUAUGCGCGUAUGCGGAUAAGCUACCUUCGUUUGGCGUUCAACGGCUAGCUCAGAACUGGCACGGACCCGGGGAAUCCGACUGUCUAAUUAAAA